Molecule: non-coding RNA, 3250 nt
Organism: Macaca mulatta (Rhesus monkey)
Lineage: Eukaryota; Metazoa; Chordata; Mammalia; Primates; Cercopithecidae
Source: RefSeq, a predicted model, not a curated record
CGUCCCUAGUGCGUCACUUCCGGUCGACGGCGGAAGGCGGAGCGGUCCCUGUAUCCCGGCCGGCGGGAUCUACCUUCUAGUUCUUAGUCUCCGACCUGGAGCCGGGCGCGUCCAGAUGCCGAACCCGCAGUUUCUGGUGCUCUUUGGCAGCCAGACAGGCACGGCUCAGGAUGUGUCGGAGAGACUGGGUCGCGAGGCCCGGCGCCGGCGGCUUGGCUGCCGGGUGCAGGCCCUGGACUCCUACCCGGUGGUGAAUCUGAUUAACGAGCCCCUGGUGAUAUUUGUUUGUGCAACUACAGGCCAAGGAGACCCCCCUGACAACAUGAAGAACUUCUGGAGGUUUAUAUUCCGGAAGAACCUGCCCACCACCGCCCUCUGUCAGAUGGAAUUUGCCGUCCUGGGCCUCGGGGACUCCUCAUACACCAAGUUCAACUUCGUGGCCAAGAAGCUGCACCGACGGCUACUGCAGCUUGGGGGCAGUGCCCUCUUGCCCGUGUGCCUAGGCGAUGACCAGCAUGAGCUGGGGCCCGACGCUGCUGUGGACCCCUGGCUGCGAGACUUGUGGGACAGGGUUCUGAGUCUGCUCCCACCGCCUCCGGACCUUGCCGAGAUCCCUCCUGGAGUCCCCCUGCCCUCCAAGUUCACCCUGCUGUUCCUCCAAGAGGCGCCCAGAAUGGGCUCUGAGGGGCAGCGGGUAGCUCACCCCGGCUCUCAGGAGCCCCCGUCAGAGUCGAAGCCCUUCCUAGCACCCAUGAUCUCCAACCAGAGAGUCACUGGCCCCUCCCACUUCCAGGACGUUCGGCUGAUUGAGUUUGACAUCUCGGGCUCUGGCAUCAGUUUUGCUGCUGGUGACGUGGUGCUGAUUCAGCCCUCCAACUCGGCUGCCCAUGUCCAGCAGUUCUGCCAGGUGCUGGGCCUGGACCCUGACCAGCUCUUCACGCUGCAGCCACGGGAGCCAGAUGUCUCCUGCCCCACGAGGCUGCCCCAGCCCUGCUCCAUGUGGCACCUCGUGUCCCACUACCUGGACAUCGCCAGCGUGCCUCGCCGCUCCUUUUUCGAGCUCCUGGCCUGUCUAUCUCUCCAUGAGCUGGAGCGGGAGAAGCUGCUGGAGUUCAGUUCUGCCCAAGGCCAGGAGGAGCUCUUUGAAUACUGCAACCGGCCCCGCAGGACCAUCCUGGAGGUGCUCUGUGACUUCCCGCACACAGCUGCUGCUAUCCCUCCCGACUACCUGUUGGACCUCAUCCCUGCUAUCCGGCCAAGGGCCUUCUCCAUCGCCUCCUCGAUGCUGGUGAGGGGCCUGGCUCACCCCUCACGGCUGCAGAUCCUCGUGGCUGUCGUGCAGUUCCAGACUCGCCUCAAGGAGCCCCGCCGGGGGCUCUGCUCCUCCUGGCUGGCAUCCCUGGACCCUGGGCAAGGUCCUGUCCGGGUGCCCCUCUGGGUGCGGCCUGGGAGUCUGGCCUUCCCAGAGACACCAGACACCCCCGUGAUCAUGGUGGGGCCCGGCACUGGGGUAGCCCCCUUCCGAGCAGCCAUCCAGGAGCGUGUGGCCCAGGGCCAGACCAGAAACUUCUUGUUUUUUGGCUGCCGCUGGCGGGACCAAGACUUCUACUGGGAGGCGGAGUGGCAGGAGCUGGAGAUGCGGGACUGUCUGACCCUUGUCCCUGCCUUCUCCCGGGAACAGGAGCAGAAAGUGUACGUGCAGCACCGGCUCCGGGAGCUGGGGUCGCUCGUGUGGGAACUGCUGGACCGCCAGGGCGCAUACUUCUACCUGGCAGGCAACGCCAAGUCCAUGCCAGCGGACGUCUCGGAGGCCCUGAUGUCCAUCUUCCAGGAGGACGGCGGACUCUGCAGCCCCGAUGCAGCCGCGUAUCUAGCCAGGCUCCAGCGGACACAGCGCUUCCAGACCGAGACGUGGGCCUGAGGCCCGAGGCUGCCCGUGCCCCCUCUGAUGGCCAUCCUCCUGGGAGCCCAGGAAGGCGUCCACGAGGGAGCUCCUGGCCAGCAGCUGUCGUCCUCUCAGACCAGCCAGCUGGUCCUCUGGGAACAGCCAGCUCUUGAGCACAGCCACACUCCCGUUGACUCUGGAUCCCACCCUUUGAACCCUGACCCCACUGCAGCCUCUGCCCAGCCAGCCCUCCCCUCCCACACCCUGACAGUGAGCUGUGUCCUCGUCCCCCCUACCCCCUUCCCAGUCAAGGUGGUGACCUGGGCCCCUUCACCUCACCAGUGAAGUGACCCAGGAUGGCAUCAGCAGCCCCAUGGGCACCAGGGGUGGCAUAGGGCACCCAUGAGGCUGCACUGCACUCCUCUGCCCUGGGGCCACCUCGGCCGCUGCAACCUGCCAAGCAGCACAUUCCAGUCACUGCCCCCGCACCUCCACAGGGCUCAGGCUGUGCUCAGACGCCACUAAGAUGCCAGCUCCCUGAGAGCAGUGGGGGUGUCCCAGGCUAGAGCAACCUGUUCUCUCCUGGUCCCAGGAAAGCCCUUGCAGUAAAUGGUGGCCUUUGAGUGGCUGCUUCUAGCACAGGCUUCUUUCCUCUAGCUCCUCCCAGUGCCCUGGGUGCUGGGUGGGUGGGUGCCAUGGUGUACCCUUGCUGGGCUGCCUGUACCCCAGUGGCCUCUGCAGCUCUUCUGUCUGUCUCUAAUGUGAUAUGCGCCCUGACUGCCUCGUUCUCAAGGGCUUGGUGGGUCGGCUAAGGUCUGAUCGCCAGGACCAGGUUCCGGGCAGGUGCUGGGAAGGUGUAGCCAAGCCGUCCGUCAGUCCUACCAGGGAGUCGAGGCUGCCGGAAAGAGGAGCGGCGGGAGGGGGCGUGGUUGGUGCAGGCCCGCCCCUGGGAGGGGUUUUAGGCACUGGGAAGAAAAGUCCUGUUGGAGGAGUCCGGUGGCUGUUCACACCCGCCUCGCUGUCUCGGAGUCGCUAUCUGUGGUCGGCGGGUCGCUGGCACAGUACUAAACAUGGCUGAGGCUGGGUUCCAGCCAGAUCUGACUGUGGACGGCACCGUGUGGGCCCAGGAUCCACCCAGAGCAGGCCAGCCUUGCUGGGGCCCCAGUAAAGUCCAAUUCCAGUGAGGAGAGCCAGCCGGGAGGGGACAAGGGCCCACCCAGACCUUGGAACAUAAGCACCAGGCCCAGCUCUGCCUCUGCACACCCUCAUGUCACCACACCUGGGAUGGAGACAUCGGUGGCCCAGCGAGAGAUGGAGCACUGAGCCCGAACAUGAAGCAGCUUUCAAUAAACCAGCUCCUGGGGA